RNAcentral lists this ribosomal RNA (443 nucleotides) under uncultured bacterium. Its description in RNAcentral is "bacterial SSU rRNA". It matches the Rfam family "Bacterial small subunit ribosomal RNA", at positions 30 to 470 of the family's 1533-position model. The record is from RNAcentral.
AUUGAACGCUGGCGGCAGGCCUAACACAUGCAAGUCGAGCGGUAGAGAGGUGCUUGCAUCUCUUGAGAGCGGCGGACGGGUGAGUAAUGCCUAGGAAUCUGCCUGGUGGUGGGGGAUAACGUUCGGAAACGGACGCUAAUACCGCAUACGUCCUACGGGAGAAAGCGGGGGGAUCUUCGGACCUCGCGCCAUUAGAUGAGCCUAGGUCGGAUUAGCUAGUUGGUGAGGUAAUGGCUCACCAAGGCGACGAUCCGUAACUGGUCUGAGAGGAUGAUCAGUCACACUGGAACUGAGACACGGUCCAGACUCCUACGGGAGGCAGCAGUGGGGGAAUAUUGGACAAUGGGCGAAAGCCUGAUCCAGCCAUGCCGCGUGUGUGAAGAAGGUACUUCGGAUUGUAAAGCACUUUAAGUUGGGUAGGAAGGGUAGUAACCUAAUACGUU